ACUACGUGAUGCGAUCUGAUG
Molecule: microRNA, 21 nt
Filed under: Gallus gallus (chicken)
Lineage: Eukaryota; Metazoa; Chordata; Aves; Galliformes; Phasianidae
Description: gga-miR-1800
Source: miRBase by way of RNAcentral